UGCAAAACAAAGAGGGGCUUUGCCCUGCCGGACUUAAAGUUGUAUUACGAAGCCGCAGCGUUCUGCUGGCUAAAAGAUUGGCUACUUCUUGAAGACACUGAUGUGUUAGAUUUGGAAGGGUUUAACAAUGUUUUUGGAUGGCAUGCAUAUUUAUGGUAUGACAAAGUUAAAGCAAAUAAGGCCUUUAAGAACCAUAUUGUUAGAAAAUCACUGUUUAAUGUCUGGACAAAAUAUAAAGACUUGCUGGAAAAUAAAACACCAAGGUGGCUUUCACCUUUGGAAGCUAAGGCCCGAAAAAGACCCAAUAUGGAGGCCAAAUGGCCAAAAUAUUGGGAAAUACUAGAAAAGAUGGAGACAAUUGGAAAUUGCAGAGUUUGGAGAAAAUGAAAGACAAAGUGCGAGAUUGGUUACAUUAUGCUCAGAUUAAAGAAGUUUUUAAAAAUGAUAAGAAACUAGGGUUCCAGGUGGAGAAAUCGAAAUUAGAAACAGAAUUGUUAGAACCAAAGAUUAAGAUACUUUCAAGGAUGUAUAACUUGCUGUUGGAAUGGAAUACACAAGAUGAAAUGGUUAAAUCGGCUAUGAUAAGGUGGGCACAGGAUAUUGGGCAUAAUAUUAUGUUUGAGGACUGGGAAAGGCUGUGGAGUAAUGGAUUGAAAUUUACUGCAUGUAAUGCUUUGAAAGAAAAUGUAAUGAAAAUGAUUUAUAGAUGGUAUAUGACCCCAGUCAAACUCGCAAAAAUUUACCACCUGUCUGAUAACAAGUGCUGGAAAUGUAAAGAGUGUGAAGGAACGUUCUUUCACCUCUGGUGGACCUGCCCUAAAGUGAAGGCGUUCUGGGAAAUGAUUUAUAAUGAAUUGAAAAAGGUAUUUAAAUAUACUUUCACUAAGAAACCAGAGGCUUUCCUUUUGGGUAUUGUCAGCCAAGGGGUGGCAAAGAAGGACCAAACAUUUUUUAUGUAUGCAACAACAGCAGCAAGGAUACUACUCGCAAAACAUUGGAAAACUCAAGAUCUACCCACACUGGAAGAAUGGCAGAUGCAACUGAUAGACUAUAUGCAACUGGCUGAAAUGACUGGCAGAAUCCGUGACCUGGGAGAAGAGAGAAUCGAGGAGGAUUGGAAGAAAUUUAAGAACUACCUACAAAAACAUUGUGAUUUGACUGAAUGCUGAAUAAGAUGCUAGACUAAAUAACUGAGCACCACUUAACUUAGAAGUUUUUAAGAAAAUAAGAAAAACUGUGAAAGUUUAACUCUUUAUGAGAACUAUAAGAUCAUGAAAUAUCGAAGAGAUAUAAGAAUUUAAAUAAGAUGAUAAAUUGCUGACAAAAUGUUAUAAUGAUGAAGGUGGGAGCGGGAGAUGUGAGGAAGUCCAAAGAAAAUGUGAAAUUAUGUUAAGACGAAUGUUAUAUUGUUUAUUACAUUUAUUCCUAUUGUAAAAUCCAAUAAAUUGC
Molecule: non-coding RNA, 1449 nt
Organism: Podarcis lilfordi (Lilford's wall lizard)
Lineage: Eukaryota; Metazoa; Chordata; Lepidosauria; Squamata; Lacertidae
Source: the annotation of a GenBank genome assembly